GGGCUCAUAGCUCAGCUGGCAGAGCGCCUCAUUUGCAAUGAGGAGGUCGCCGGUUCGAAUCCGGCUGAGUCCACCA
RNAcentral lists this transfer RNA (76 nucleotides) under Candidatus Yanofskybacteria bacterium RIFCSPHIGHO2_01_FULL_44_22. RNAcentral describes it as "tRNA-Ala". It matches the Rfam family "tRNA". Rfam says of the family: Transfer RNA (tRNA) molecules are approximately 80 nucleotides in length. Their secondary structure includes four short double-helical elements and three loops (D, anti-codon, and T loops). Lineage: Bacteria; Candidatus Yanofskyibacteriota. The record is from RNAcentral.